GACGAACGCUGGCGGCGUGCCUAAUACAUGCAAGUUGAGCGCUGAAGGUUGGUACUUGUACCAACUGGAUGAGCAGCGAACGGGUGAGUAACGCGUGGGGAAUCUGCCUUUGAGCGGGGGACAACAUUUGGAAACGAAUGCUAAUACCGCAUAAAAACUUUAAACACAAGUUUUAAGUUUGAAAGAUGCAAUUGCAUCACUCAAAGAUGAUCCCGCGUUGUAUUAGCUAGUUGGUGAGGUAAAGGCUCACCAAGGCGAUGAUACAUAGCCGACCUGAGAGGGUGGACGGCCACAUUGGGACUGAGACACGGCCCAAACUCCUACGGGAGGCAGCAGGAGGGAAUCUUCGGCAAUGGACGAAAGUCUGACCGAGCAACGCCGCGGGAGUGAAGAAGGGUUUCGGAUCGUAAAACUCUGUUGGUAGAGAAGAACGUUGGUGAGAGUGGAAAGCUCAUCAAGUGACGGUAACUACACAGAAAGGGACGGCUAACUACGUG
RNAcentral lists this ribosomal RNA (497 nucleotides) under uncultured bacterium. Its description in RNAcentral is "partial 16S ribosomal RNA". It matches the Rfam family "Bacterial small subunit ribosomal RNA", at positions 28 to 507 of the family's 1533-position model. The record is from RNAcentral.